This 254-nucleotide ribosomal RNA is filed under the name uncultured bacterium. RNAcentral describes it as "partial 16S ribosomal RNA". It matches the Rfam family "Bacterial small subunit ribosomal RNA", at positions 524 to 776 of the family's 1533-position model. The record is from RNAcentral.
UACGUAGGGGGCAAGCGUUGUCCGGAUUUAUUGGGCGUAAAGAGCUCGUAGGCGGUUGGGCAAGUCACGUGUGAAAUCUCCACGCUCAACGUGGAGGCGCCACGUGAGACUGCCCUGACUCGAGUCCGGUAGGGGAGCGUGGAAUUCCCGGUGUAGCGGUGAAAUGCGCAGAUAUCAGGAGGAACACCAAUGGCGAAGGCAGCUCGCUGGGACGGUACUGACGCUGAGGCGCGAAAGCGUGGGUAGCAAACAGG